GUUCAAACGAAGCAGACCCCAAAACCGGGCUGACUAUGCCAAAAUUGUCCCGACAAAAGGGCAUGUUAAAAUUGGGGCAAAGGAUAGUAAACAUGUCUUCAUAGAUGUGGGAAACGAAGAAGACUACAGCACCAUAGUUUCUUUCAAUUUCAUCCAGCUGGGAGAAGAUAACAAUACGGCAAUUCAAAUAUGGACCACUGAUUUUAACCCUAAUGCUUCAUCUACACUUGCUCCAGUGUGGAUUAAUCUUCCCGACCUCCCGUGGCAUUAUUACAGAAGGGCCGCCUUGUGUCGUAUAGUUGAACCGAUUGGUAACCUCAUUAUAU
This 326-nucleotide unclassified non-coding RNA is filed under the name Hevea brasiliensis (rubber tree). Lineage: Eukaryota; Viridiplantae; Streptophyta; Magnoliopsida; Malpighiales; Euphorbiaceae. The record is from RNAcentral.